UAUAAACCUAGGUAAACACAAAUUUAAAUCUUCUAUACCUCUUUAUACACCAUAAAAAGAAUUUAACCCCACUGGAGUAAUGUAAUUUGAAACACGAUAAAAACCAAUAGAGAUCAGUACCGCAAGGGAACGGUUGAAAUAAAACUAAUUCCUAAACCUAAAAAAGGAAAGAUUAACCCUUUUACCUUGUGUAUAAUGGAUUAACAAGCCAAAAGAAGAAGAAUUCUAUACUCGAAACUAGGCGAGCUAACCCUGCCUACCUUUUAGAGGAAAACUCCUACUGUUGCAAUAGUAGGCCUAAAGGUAGGGUUAGAUGUGAAAUGCUAACCGCGCCAAGAGAUAGCUAGCUCCCCAAGAAAUUAGUCUUAGCUAAGCUCCUCUUACUAAACUUUAACACAAAGUACCAGUUACAAAGAGAAUCUUAAACCUUUAGAAAAGAGAGAGUCAGGAUAACGAGGACAAGCUCGUUAUUCAAAAUGGAAAAACCCAGCUACUUUAGAUAAAGACAAAGAACAAGUCAAAUAGUUUAAUUUCCCCGAGUAGGCCUAGAAGCAGCCCUCUCAUUAGAAAGCGUUAAAGCUCAAGAUAAUAAAAAACUAAUAAAUCCCUGAACCCAUAUCUGAAUCUAAAUAAACUUAUUGGGGGAUCUUAUGUUUAAAAGACACAAUGUUAAUAUGAGUACGUCACCUCCCACCUGCUUUUUAAACGAGAUUAACCUUGGAUAUAAAAAUACUAAACCUAGAAACCCCAUUUUUAAUUCCGUCUUCCAACUCAGGAGGGAAAAAAGAAAGUUAAAUAAAAAGAAGGAACUCGGCAAAUCCUAGUUUCGCCUGUUUACCAAAAACAUCGCUCCCUGUCUUACACUCACAUAGGGAGUCCUGCCUGCCCAGUGACAUUUAGUUAAACGGCCGCGGUAUCUUGACCGUGCUAAGGUAGCAUAAUCACUUGUCUCCUAAAUAGAGACUAGUAUGAAUGGCAAGACGGAACUUAACUGUCUCCUUUUUACUUCAGAAAUUCACUUUCCCGUGAAGAGGCGGGAAUGCACUCGCUAGACGAGAAGACCCUGUCGAGCUUAAGGAAAUAUUUAGACCUAGAUUUUAUUUUUACCUUUGCUAACUCAUAAACCUACAAAGAUAAUAAAUUUUCUAGUCUCUAAGUAUACCUUUGGUUGGGGCAACCAUGGAGAAAACCAAUCCUCCAUUAGUACAAUUUUCCACUGUAUAAUGAACAAGAAACACACUUCUAAAAUGAACAAAGUUCAACAGCUGAUCCGCCAAGGCGAUCAAAGGAACAAGUUACCGCAGGGAUAACAGCGUUAUCUUUUCUGAGAGUCCACAUUGACGAAAAGGUUUGCGACCUCGAUGUUGGAUCGGGACAUCCUAAAGGUGCAGAAGCUUUUAAGGGUUGGUCUGUUCGACCAUUAAAGUCCUACGUGAUCUGAGUUCAGACCGGCGAGAGCCAGGUCAGCUUCUAUCUACGAAAGUUUCUUUUUUAGUACGAAAGGACCAAAAAGAAGAUGUCCAUGCACAAAUGUAAACAUCUAAAAUUAAAAAA
This 1554-nucleotide ribosomal RNA is filed under the name Pygmaeocidaris prionigera. RNAcentral describes it as "16S ribosomal RNA". It matches the Rfam family "Bacterial large subunit ribosomal RNA", at positions 378 to 2770 of the family's 2925-position model. Lineage: Eukaryota; Metazoa; Echinodermata; Echinoidea; Arbacioida; Arbaciidae. The record is from RNAcentral.